This 253-nucleotide ribosomal RNA is filed under the name uncultured bacterium. Its description in RNAcentral is "partial 16S ribosomal RNA". It matches the Rfam family "Bacterial small subunit ribosomal RNA", at positions 524 to 776 of the family's 1533-position model. The record is from RNAcentral.
UACGUAGGUGGCAAGCGAUACUCGGAAUCACUAGGCGUAAAGCGCAGGUAGGAGGUUUAGUAAGUCUGUUGUGAAAGCUCCCGGCUUAACUGGGAGAGGUCAACGGAAACUGCUAGGCUAGAGUGCGGUAGAGGUAGCUGGAAUUCCCGGUGUAGCGGUGAAAUGCGUAGAUAUCAGGAGGAACACCGAUGGCGAAGGCAGGUCACUGGGCCGCAACUGACGCUGAGGAGCGAAAGCAUGGGGAGCGAACAGG